AACGAACGCUGGCGGCAUGCCUAACACAUGCAAGUCGAACGAGACCUUCGGGUCUAGUGGCGCACGGGUGCGUAACGCGUGGGAACCUGCCCUUAGGUUCGGAAUAACUCCCCGAAAGGGGUGCUAAUACCGGAUAAUGUCUUCGGACCAAAGGUUUAUCGCCUUUGGAUGGGCCCGCGUUGGAUUAGCUAGUGGGUAGGGUAAAAGCCUGCCAAGGCGACGAUCCAUAGCUGGUCUGUGAGGAGGAUCCGCCACACUGGGACUGAGACACGGCCCAGACUCCUACGGAAGGGAGCGGUGGGGAAUAUUGGACAAGGGGCGAAGGCCUGAUCCAGCAAUGCCGCGGAAGUGAUGAAGGCCUUAGGGUUGUAAAGCUCUUUUACCCGGGAUGAUAAUGACAGUACCGGGUAAAUAAGCGCCGGCUAACUCCGUG
RNAcentral lists this ribosomal RNA (433 nucleotides) under uncultured bacterium. Its description in RNAcentral is "partial 16S ribosomal RNA". It matches the Rfam family "Bacterial small subunit ribosomal RNA", at positions 29 to 507 of the family's 1533-position model. The record is from RNAcentral.